AUUGCUGGUGAUGAUGUCCAUGAUUCAGAUCCAUACUGUAGGAAGUCUGCCUCAUUGAGCAUACCUCUAUUAUGCUAACUGCCUAUGUUUUCUUCAAAAUUGUUUGGAUACUCGUUCAUGGAGUAAAUGGCUCUCUCAGUUCUGCACUCUUGACUUUUAGGAGGUUAAAUGUGCAUGUGUGAAUUAAACUCACCAAUGUUCUCUCGUAAGCAUUUCCCUCUAAUAUGUAAGUUUCUGCAUAUAUGAGAGAAACUCAGAGCAAGAAUGUCCUGAUUUACCUGGUGUUCCGGGACUUCGGAAGCCUAUCCUGUCACUCUUGCUUUCUGUGUUUUGGCAUGCAUCAAGUGGUGCACCCCUUACCUUUCAAUCUAUGGCCUCUCAUUAGUGACCUCACAGUCUUGGGAAAACUCAUUAAAUGGGGAAUAUAUGAAACCAUGCAGCGUUAUGCACCAAGGUUUUUGGACUUGCAUGUCAUCUUGCUCCUGUGCAAUAUAUUAUUUGAGAAAAGGUUAAAAAUGAGAGCUAAAGCUCAUCACUGGGUGGGGCAUCUCCUUAACUCCGUUCGCCUCAGUUCACAUAUAGAUGCAAAUCAUGAGGCAGAAACGCUCUUCCUUCCAAACUAAUUCAAGCAUGCCAUUAUCUUGUCUUGGACAAAGGUGAUAUCAUUUCCGAUGGAAUCUUCCUCUAGGAUUUGAUGUCAGGACCAGACAAAAACGGUUUCACGGUGGAAAGGUGGGUACACAGUUGGCAAAUGCGAAGCCAAUAUGUAUGUUUUCAGACAACUGGCAAACAGGAAGCCAAUAUUUUUACAAGCACAUCCCAACGGCAUGUCACCGAUCAGGUAGAAUAAUAGUGGAUCUGAAGGUCCCGUUGAAAUUUCUUUACUUCAAUUAAAUAGUCAUCGAGUACAAGGAAUGCUUCCACAUGUUAUUUGGGUUGAUGAGCCGUACGAGGAAUUAGAGGAAAGUGCUGGUGAUGCCAAACUUCUGAAAAAGGUAAAAGCUCAUCUGAUUCGAAAUAAAAUAGAAUAGCCGUCGCUUGUGAUUCAUCACCAUCAAUCAGAUCUCAACCCACCCAUUACCACCAGCCUGUAUGACCAAUCAGGACCAUCUAGGUGGCAUAGCCUCUUUUGUCAUCUCCAUGCCUGUCAUCACUAACCCCCCCCCCCCCUUAAGUUGGGAGAAAAACUCGAUUUCUUCUGAUUUUUCGAGUCUCCCAUUUAUUCACCGGCAAUCAAACGAAUACAUUCUUUUAAUUCUUCAGAUAUUCUUAGAUAACAGCAGUGUACAUGCAGGUUCUACGAAUAAUCGUUAAAUGCUACACUGGAAUAUGUACUUGCUAGCAAUAGAAUAAUGUUGACUGUCACGUUAGAAAUGCUUUAAUUUCUCUAGUAAUAUCCGCGGAAAUAAAAUUAUACUCUUACCGAUGAUGUCAAACCUUUUCCACUAGCUCCGAGAUCAUUUGGAUGCGAAGCGAUCCUGACCGUGUGAUCGAAUGGUGCUCGUCCUGGAGGGUGGAGACGCUCAUCCAGCCUUUCACCGAGUGGGGAGAAGAUAAGUCAGAACCAAUUAGUGGGUGGGGCCCACGAAGGAGACGGUCUGUUGAUUGGAUGGAAUAAGGGGCCCGCGUAGCGUAUAAAUAUCCAUCACGUGUAAGGCCAGUUCGCUUUUUGCCCCGUCAGGGCAUUUCUUUAACUUUUUGCCGAAGUGAACGGACGCGCUUUAACCUGCAACGAUACUCUUCCUCCGCCGGACCACCGAGGUGCAGACAUGCAGCGCGCGAAAGAAAAUAUUGAUAAAUUAAA
Non-coding RNA from Phoenix dactylifera (date palm), 1804 nucleotides. The record is from RefSeq and is a predicted model, not a curated record. Lineage: Eukaryota; Viridiplantae; Streptophyta; Magnoliopsida; Arecales; Arecaceae.